GAGAGCCGUAACACAGGUGCUGCAUGGCUGUCGUCAGCUCGUGUCGUGAGAUGUUCGGGUUAAGUCCCGCAACGAGCGCAACCCUUGCCAUUAGUUGCUACGAAAGGGCACUCUAAUGGGACUGCCGGUGACAAACCGGAGGAAGGUGGGGAUGACGUCAAGUCCUCAUGGCCCUUAUAGGUGGGGCUACACACGUCAUACAAUGGCCGGUACAGAGGGUAGCCAACCCGCGAGGGGGAGCCAAUCCCACAAAGCCGGUCGUAGUCCGGAUCGCAGUCUGCAACUCGACUGCGUGAAGUCGGAAUCGCUAGUAAUCGCGGAUCAGCAUGUCGCGGUGAAUACGUUCCCGGGUCUU
RNAcentral lists this ribosomal RNA (355 nucleotides) under uncultured Alicycliphilus sp. Its description in RNAcentral is "bacterial SSU rRNA". It matches the Rfam family "Bacterial small subunit ribosomal RNA", at positions 1022 to 1382 of the family's 1533-position model. Lineage: Bacteria; Pseudomonadati; Pseudomonadota; Betaproteobacteria; Burkholderiales; Comamonadaceae. The record is from RNAcentral.